This 465-nucleotide ribosomal RNA is filed under the name uncultured bacterium. RNAcentral's name for it is "partial 16S ribosomal RNA". It matches the Rfam family "Bacterial small subunit ribosomal RNA", at positions 28 to 507 of the family's 1533-position model. The record is from RNAcentral.
GACGAACGCUGGCGGCGUGCUUAACACAUGCAGGUCGUACGGUAAGGCCCUUUCGGGGGUACACGAGUGGCGAACGGGUGAGUAACACGUGAGUAACCUGCCCACAACUUUGGGAUAACGCUAGGAAACUGGUGCUAAUACUGGAUAUGUGCUCCUGCUGCAUGGUGGGGGUUGGAAAGCUCCGGCGGUUGUGGAUGGACUCGCGGCCUAUCAGCUUGUUGGUGGGGUAGUGGCCUACCAAGGCGGCGACGGGUAGCCGGCCUGAGAGGGUGACCGGCCACAUUGGGACUGAGAUACGGCCCAGACUCCUACGGGAGGCAGCAGUGGGGAAUAUUGCACAAUGGGCGCAAGCCUGAUGCAGCAACGCCGCGUGCGGGAUGACGGCCUUCGGGUUGUAAACCGCUUUCAGCAGGGACGAAGCUUUUUGUGACGGUACCUGCAGAAGAAGCACCGGCUAACUACGUG